AUGGAAGCAAAGAGGAUCCGGUCGGUGGGAGCGCAUCUGCACAUGAGCCGAUUUGGUCCAACGAGCAUGACCGUCUCACCCUCCCAAAUGAAAGGAUCCGCGAAAUAUCCCCACGGACCUCCUUCCCGAGCCGCAGCCACCCCGCAGCCGUCCAACCUCACUGCUGUUGUACCUCGCCGUCCUUUCUCCCGCCGGUGUUCUUCCCGAGGACGCCAGCCGCCCUCCUCAACCACUUUGCGUCGCCGUCGGCCGCAAGCAGCUCCCCAGCAGAUGAGCCCCGUCGCGCCCUCUCGUUCCUCUGUUUUUCCUCCUCUCAGUAUCUCAUAUCUCUCUCGUUCUCUCUCUGUACAGGAUGCAGCGUCACCCAUGGCCUUGUCUCCGGCCAGAACGAGCCUCCCCGUGCUCCUCCACCUCGCCUCCUCGGGCGCCCGCGCCUACUGCCGGCCGGCCACGGUCAGGUCGCCUCGCCUCCUCUCGCUCUCACUCCGGCCCUCUCUCUGUCCCUGCCGCUUGUCUGAAUUAUCCCUGCCAUGGCCCUGCAGUUCCUCCCCGCCUCGGAGCUCCCUUGCGCCGUCGGAUCCAAGACCCCCUCGCCCGGACCUGCCCGUUCCCGGCGCUCGCGUCGCCGUCAGCCACCCGUCGCCGGAGUUCCUGGUCGGCUCGCGCGCCGACCUUCAAGUCCCACGCCGCCGCGGCUCCCCCACUUCAACCGCUGCUACCUGCUUCGCUCGAUCAAGCUGUGUGUUGACCUCCAGCGCCAAGGCCCAGCGCGUCAGCCCUAAUCAACACAUCCUAGAAGAGAACUUUCACGGAGCAUUCUCUUACACCACUUUGGAAGAUGCCUCAGUCAAUACAAUGCUCACAAUAUCUAAUAUCAGGGAAGCCUUUCAAGUACCUCUCUCCAUGCAAGAUCAUGCAGAACUCAAUUCCAUUCUACUUGAUGUCAGCUCCACCACACUCAUUGAGAACAAAGAUACUUGGAUUUGCACCUCGGGGUCACCGAUAUUCAAAACUACAGCUUACUACAAAUUUUGUUUCAGAGAUGUAGUUGCACAUGAAGUGUUUGGUUGGCUCUGGAAGGCUAAAAGUGUCCCCAAAAUGGAAGUUUUUGGGUGGUUCUUAUUGGUAGAUCACCUCAACACGCAUGAUAUGUUGAAGAGGAGACACUACAACAUAGGGACCAAUCUAGACUGUCUACUUUGUGGAAACCAUGUUGAAGAAACGGUUUCCACUCUCCGCCCCCUCCCCCCUCACAUCUACAUGUACAUUGGACUAGGCGGCGACGACUAUGCUCGGCUAAAGCUAGUUAAACGCAGGAGCUACAGUACAUACAUAACCACACAUACGGGCACAAGGUACUACACCAAGGUUCAGAAGAAGCAGGGAAGCAGCGAGGUAGGCGAAGAAGAAGCAGCAGCAGAGGUACAGAGAGAAGGAGCAGCAAGAGAAGUUGGGGAGCGGCAGCAGGAAGUGAAGGGGAAGGAGCAGCAGGGGGACGUUGGGAGGAGGAGAGGUUCAGAGAAGAGCUUCGGCAAGGAAGAGCAGCAGGGGGCGCAGGAGAUGAAGAGCAGCAACAGCUUUAGGGGAAGCAGAGUAGGAGAAGCAGAGAGAGGAGCAGCAGCAGGGGCGUGGGAGAAGCAACGAGGCAGGGGAAUGAGCAGCAGCAGUCGGGCACAAGCAGAGGAGAGGACUUGCGCGGGGCACUAG
This 1707-nucleotide ribosomal RNA is filed under the name Triticum aestivum (bread wheat). Its description in RNAcentral is "partial small subunit ribosomal RNA". The record is from RNAcentral. Lineage: Eukaryota; Viridiplantae; Streptophyta; Magnoliopsida; Poales; Poaceae.